CCUACGGGAGGCAGCAGUGGGGGAUAUUGCACAAUGGGGGGAACCCUGAUGCAGCGACGCCGCGUGGGUGAAGAAGCGCCUCGGCGCGUAAAGCCCUGUCAGCAGGGAAGAAAAUGACGGUACCUGAAGAAUAAGCCCCGGCUAACUACGUGCCAGCAGCCGCGGUAAUACGUAGGGGGCAAGCGUUAUCCGGAUUUACUGGGUGUAAAGGGGGCGCAGACGGCGAUGCAAGUCAGGAGUGAAAGCCCGGGGCCCAACCCCGGGACUGAUCUUGGAACUGCGUGGCUGGAGGGCAGGAGGGGCAGGCGGAAUUCCUGGUGUAGCGGUGAAAUGCGUAGAUAUCAGGAGGAACACCGGUGGCGAAGGCGGCCUGCUGGACUGAAACUGACGUUGAGGCCCGAAAGCGUGGGGAGCAAACAGGAUUAGAUACCCUUGUAGUC
RNAcentral lists this ribosomal RNA (440 nucleotides) under uncultured bacterium. RNAcentral's name for it is "partial 16S ribosomal RNA". It matches the Rfam family "Bacterial small subunit ribosomal RNA", at positions 338 to 795 of the family's 1533-position model. The record is from RNAcentral.